This 464-nucleotide ribosomal RNA is filed under the name uncultured bacterium. RNAcentral describes it as "bacterial SSU rRNA". It matches the Rfam family "Bacterial small subunit ribosomal RNA", at positions 339 to 794 of the family's 1533-position model. The record is from RNAcentral.
UUACGGGAGGCAGCAGUGGGGAAUCUUCCGCAAUGGACGAAAGUCUGACGGAGCAACGCCGCGUGAGUGACGAAGGUCUUCGGAUUGUAAAACUCUGUCUUUUGGGAAGAACGGCUCAUAUGUGAAUAAUGUAUGGGAUUGACGGUACCAAAGGAGGAAGCCCCGGCUAACUACGUGCCAGCAGCCGCGGUAAUACGUAGGGGGCGAGCGUUGUCCGGAAUUAUUGGGCGUAAAGAGCGCGCAGGCGGUUUGUUAAGUCUACCGUGAAAGCUUACGGCUCAACCGUAACGGGUCGGUGGAUACUGGCAGACUUGAGGGCAGGAGAGGAAAGUGGAAUUCCCAGUGUAGCGGUGAAAUGCGUAGAGAUUGGGAGGAACACCAGUGGCGAAGGCGACUUUCUGGACUGCAACUGACGCUGAGGCGCGAAAGCUGGGGGAGUGAACGGGAUUAGAUACCCCGGUAGC